This 73-nucleotide transfer RNA is filed under the name Candidatus Faecimorpha stercoravium. RNAcentral describes it as "tRNA-Arg". It matches the Rfam family "tRNA". From Rfam's summary of the family: Transfer RNA (tRNA) molecules are approximately 80 nucleotides in length. Their secondary structure includes four short double-helical elements and three loops (D, anti-codon, and T loops). The record is from RNAcentral. RNAcentral also lists the same sequence under 1 other name. Lineage: Bacteria; Bacillati; Bacillota; Clostridia; Eubacteriales.
GCACUUGUAGCUCAGGGGAUAGAGCGGUGGCUUCCGGAGCCACGCGUCGAGGGUUCGAAUCCUUCCAGGUGCA